UGAACGGGCCGGGUGAGGCUCAUCGAUCUUAAAGCAGCAAACGCCCGGCUAAACUUGUAGAUGCCUUCGUGAAAGGUCUUCAGGACAGGGGUUCGACUCCCCUCGCCUCCACUU
This 114-nucleotide transfer-messenger RNA is filed under the name Akkermansiaceae bacterium. RNAcentral describes it as "partial transfer-messenger RNA". It matches the Rfam family "transfer-messenger RNA", at positions 260 to 374 of the family's 374-position model. From Rfam's summary of the family: Bacterial tmRNA, also known as 10Sa RNA or SsrA, is named for its dual tRNA and mRNA-like properties. Its role is to liberate the mRNA from a stalled ribosome. The record is from RNAcentral. Lineage: Bacteria; Pseudomonadati; Verrucomicrobiota; Verrucomicrobiia; Verrucomicrobiales; Akkermansiaceae.